This 3323-nucleotide long non-coding RNA is filed under the name Sus scrofa (pig). RNAcentral's name for it is "lncRNA (ENSSSCG00000062189.1)". Lineage: Eukaryota; Metazoa; Chordata; Mammalia; Artiodactyla; Suidae. The record is from RNAcentral.
UUUUUUUUUUGCUUUUUGCUUUUUGGGGCCACACUCAGGGUAUAUACGGAGGUUCCCAGGCUAGGAGUUGAAUCAGAGCUACAGCUGCCGGCCUAUGCCACAGCCACAGGAACGCCGGAUCUGAGCCAUGUCUGCAGCCUAUACUACAGCUCUCGGCAACGCCGGAUCCUUAACCCAAUGAGAGAGGUCAGGGAUCAAACCCACAACCUCGUGGUUCCUAGUCAGAGAUUCGUUUCCGCUGAGACACGACAGGAGCUCCCACACUCUAUUUUAUUUUAAUUUUUUUUGUCUUUUUGCCUUUUCUAGAGCCACACCCACGGCAUAUGGAGGUUCCCAGGCUAGGGGUCGAAUUGGAGCUGUAGCUGCCAAGCCUACGCCAGAGCCACAGCAACAUGGGAUCCGAGCCACGUCUGUGACCUACACCACAGCUCACUGCAACGCCAGAUCCUUAGCCCACUGAGCAAGGCCAGGGAUUGAACCCACAACUUCAUGGUUCUUAGUCAGAUUUGUUAACCACUGAGCCACGACGGGAACUCCCUCCCACACUCUAUUUUAAAACACGUAUUUUUUGGAGUUUGUUAGUUUUUAAAGUGGGAAGGUAAUUACGAUUAUUACUCCAUCAUGGGAAAAUGCUUCUCAGAGAAUCUGUCCCAAUAGACUAGCAUGAAACAAAAAUCAAGGACAUACAGUCAAUAACUUUUACCUAUGCAUUCAAUGUAUUUGUUCAGUGUUCUUAUUUAAAACUACUUAGCUGCUAUAGGUUUGGUUGUAUUAUUGCAUUAGUUUAUUGAAGCUGCUGUAACAGAUUACAACAAACCUGUUACUUGAAACAACACAUGUUUAUUUUCUGAUGGUUCUGGAGUCCCAGAUGUCUGAAAUUAGUAUCACUGCCCUAAAACAAAGGUCUGAGCAGGGCCAUACUCCCUCUGGAGUCUCUAGGGGACAGUCUUUUCCUAACCUCUUCUAGGUACUGGUGGCUGCUGACAUUCCUUGGCUUUUGUUCGCAUCACUGCAAUCUUAAAGUUGGCAUUCUCAAUUCUCUCUCUACUCUGUCUUCAUGGAGUCUUCUCCUCUGUACAUGCAUCAGAUUUCCCUCUGCCUCUUUUAUAAGAAUACUUAUGAUUGCAGUUGGGUGUCACCCUGAUAAUCUAGGAUAAUCCCCCCACCUCAAAUUCUUUAACUUAAUUACAGCUGCAAAGACCCUAUCUUGUGAUAAAAGAAAACAUGCAUAGGAAAUAAGACAUGAAUUUCUUUCGAAGGAGUCAUUUUUCAGCCCAGUACCAUUGCCUUGUUUUUAUGUUUUGUUUUGUUUAUUUUGGCCAACAUUUCAUUUUGCCCACUGCCAGUAUUAACUGCAGAAUAAACCUUCUCUCUCUGAACAGGCGUGAUGCUCAGUAAAUAAAUCUCUGGAGAUUUCAGAAAAACAAGGUAACAGUUGAGAAUAGUAAUAGUUUCCCAAUAGACUAGCAUGAAACAAAAAUUAAUAUAUCUUUUGCAUCAAUUUCCAAGUUUUCUAAGUUUCAAAUUUGCCCUAUUUUUGACUCUCCAAGUUACAUGGGGGAGAGCCAAAGGGAUAAAAUUAAUUAUUCAGUUUAAUAACAAUGACAACAACAAAGCUCAUGGUUCCUCCUCAAAGGUGGAAAACUACAUGAAGGAUAAAAAUCCUUAAGUAACAAAACUGUCUGUAAAAAUCUAUGCUGAUUUGAUAAGUUUUCAGUUGCAUGAGAGCCUAGCACAAAGUAAGCACUUAAUAAAUAUAUGCUAAAAAAGAAAGCAUGCAUGAAUGAAAAGAAUAAAUGUAUAAAUGACUAAAGUGAGACAUUACUUCAUAUAAAGAAUAUCAUCUGUUCACAGGCACACAUGAGUAAUUACAUAACAGAUAUUUCCCUGAUGCUGUGAUUCUAAAAAGUGAUUACAAAACUUUCAUGAUUAACUCAUUUGUUUGCAAAUUUUUUAAUGUAUCCACAAAUGGACUUGUGAUUUACUUUUGAAAAGUGAACAUUCUUAAAGGACACAAAUGCUUCCCAGCUCACAUUCAGUUUUCUUCCAGCAGUUCUAUGUGGGUAUACAAAAGUGUGCAGCAUUCAGAAUAAGUUGAAUCAUUCUCGCAAGCUUUCUAGCAUAGUCAUUUUACAAUCUGUGCACAUGCACAGAACAUAGGAACCAGAAAAGAUGAACCCAAAUAUGAGGCAGUUCACACCUAGAGUUAUUGUAGGAUGGCAUCAUGACCCUUGGCUUAGUGUGGCUUGGAGGUAGGACUUUUUGGUGUGCUCUAGAACCUCAUCUCUAGGUCCUACACUGCCAUGUAUUGGAUAUGUGACCUUGUAUACACUGUGUAACUUAUUUAUCAAUCUAUAUUAUGAUGAAAGUCUAAAUUUUACAUAUUUCAGAGGGUUGUUUCUAAAACAUUGGAGACAACUGCAUUAUCUGAUCUUGAAGAACUGAAGCUUGGUAUUUCUUUAUCCUGGGAAUAUUGCAUUAGAACCUGAAAAAAAAAAUAGUAGGGAUACAAAAUAUGUUAAACAGGGAUAGUCCUAAAUGAUUGUACACAUAUAAGGUGUGAUGUGAUAUUCAUCCAUUGCAAAGCAAAUUGGAAACUGAAACAAAAAUAAAAAACAAAACUGACAUGUCUUUGAAUUUCUUCCACCGUGGGCACAUACGGGAGCUAGGAUUUUAGAAAACAAAGCAAACAAAAAAUGCUAAUAGACCUAAUGGAUACUCUAGUGGAGAAGUCCAUUCAGUGAUAAACAGAAAGGGGAGCAAAAAGCCUGAGUCUUUGAUGGGAAAACAGGAAUGAGAACAUGGAUGCUGAUGCUAAAUGAAAAAGCCAGGAGCCCAUCUUAUAAGUGGCAUAUGGGAGCAAAAGCCAGAAAUCAGAUGAAAAGCUAGCUGAAACACAAAGAGAUCAAACAAUUAAGGAUGGGCAUUGACGAUCGAUCGAUACAGAAUUUAGUGGUUGGUUAUGGCUAAUCUAUUGUGACUGGUAAGUGUGGUGCCCUUGCAGUUCUGUGGCGCAGGACUAAAAAAGUUGGCAGCAAAAGGGCUGAUAUAAUAUAUUAAGAACAACAAUCAAAUUUUUUUUAGCUAAAUUAGUCUUUGAAAGAUUAGAAUGAUUAGCACUUUGGAGAGUAUGGUAUUCCUUUCAAAGCUGGAGUAGCCACAGGAUAAAAUGCUUGACAGGGAAAAAUUUUGAUAGAAAGUAACACUUCUUUUAAGAGAAGUUUCCUUUUUUUCCCCUCUGUACAAUCUCCUUUACAACUUGAAAUAGAUAGCCCCUUGUAGAGGCAUUUUGAGUGGCAGGUUUUGUGGUGCUAUUGUAGAGC